CCGGAGCUAACGCGUUAAGUAGACCGCCUGGGGAGUACGGCCGCAAGGUUAAAACUCAAAUGAAUUGACGGGGGCCCGCACAAGCGGUGGAGCAUGUGGUUUAAUUCGAUGCAACGCGAAGAACCUUACCUGGUCUUGACAUCCACAGAAGAAUCCAGAGAUGGAUUUGUGCCUUCGGGAACUGUGAGACAGGUGCUGCAUGGCUGUCGUCAGCUCGUGUUGUGAAAUGUUGGGUUAAGUCCCGCAACGAGCGCAACCCUUAUCCUUUGUUGCCAGCGGUCCGGCCGGGAACUCAAAGGAGACUGCCAGUGAUAAACUGGAGGAAGGUGGGGAUGACGUCAAGUCAUCAUGGCCCUUACGACCAGGGCUACACACGUGCUACAAUGGCGCAUACAAAGAGAAGCGACCUCGCGAGAGCAAGCGGACCUCAUAAAGUGCGUCGUAGUCCGGAUUGGAGUCUGCAACUCGACUCCAUGAAGUCGGAAUCGCUAGUAAUCGUGGAUCAGAAUGCCACGGUGAAUACGUUCCCGGGCCUUGUACACACCGCCCGUCACACCAUGGGAGUGGGUUGCAAAAGAAGUAGGUAGCUUAACCUUCGGGAGGGCGCUUACCACUUUGUGAUUCAUGACUGGGGUGAAGUCGUAACAAGGUAACCGUAGGGGAACCUGC
RNAcentral lists this ribosomal RNA (669 nucleotides) under Salmonella enterica. RNAcentral's name for it is "bacterial SSU rRNA". It matches the Rfam family "Bacterial small subunit ribosomal RNA", at positions 846 to 1515 of the family's 1533-position model. The record is from RNAcentral. Lineage: Bacteria; Pseudomonadati; Pseudomonadota; Gammaproteobacteria; Enterobacterales; Enterobacteriaceae.